Molecule: ribosomal RNA, 1995 nt
Filed under: Escherichia coli
Lineage: Bacteria; Pseudomonadati; Pseudomonadota; Gammaproteobacteria; Enterobacterales; Enterobacteriaceae
Description: partial 23S ribosomal RNA
Rfam family: Bacterial large subunit ribosomal RNA
Source: RNAcentral
GUGAAAGGCCAAUCAAACCGGGAGAUAGCUGGUUCUCCCCGAAAGCUAUUUAGGUAGCGCCUCGUGAAUUCAUCUCCGGGGGUAGAGCACUGUUUCGGCAAGGGGGUCAUCCCGACUUACCAACCCGAUGCAAACUGCGAAUACCGGAGAAUGUUAUCACGGGAGACACACGGCGGGUGCUAACGUCCGUCGUGAAGAGGGAAACAACCCAGACCGCCAGCUAAGGUCCCAAAGUCAUGGUUAAGUGGGAAACGAUGUGGGAAGGCCCAGACAGCCAGGAUGUUGGCUUAGAAGCAGCCAUCAUUUAAAGAAAGCGUAAUAGCUCACUGGUCGAGUCGGCCUGCGCGGAAGAUGUAACGGGGCUAAACCAUGCACCGAAGCUGCGGCAGCGACGCUGAUGCGUUGUUGGGUAGGGGAGCGUUCUGUAAGCCUGCGAAGGUGUGCUGUGAGGCAUGCUGGAGGUAUCAGAAGUGCGAAUGCUGACAUAAGUAACGAUAAAGCGGGUGAAAAGCCCGCUCGCCGGAAGACCAAGGGUUCCUGUCCAACGUUAAUCGGGGCAGGGUGAGUCGACCCCUAAGGCGAGGCCGAAAGGCGUAGUCGAUGGGAAACAGGUUAAUAUUCCUGUACUUGGUGUUACUGCGAAGGGGGGACGGAGAAGGCUAUGUUGGCCGGGCGACGGUUGUCCCGGUUUAAGCGUGUAGGCUGGUUUUCCAGGCAAAUCCGGAAAAUCAAGGCUGAGGCGUGAUGACGAGGCACUGCGGUGCUGAAGCAACAAAUGCCCUGCUUCCAGGAAAAGCCUCUAAGCAUCAGGUAACAUCAAAUCGUACCCCAAACCGACACAGGUGGUCAGGUAGAGAAUACCAAGGCGCUUGAGAGAACUCGGGUGAAGGAACUAGGCAAAAUGGUGCCGUAACUUCGGGAGAAGGCACGCUGAUAUGUAGGUGAAGUCCCUCGCGGAUGGAGCUGAAAUCAGUCGAAGAUACCAGCUGGCUGCAACUGUUUAUUAAAAACACAGCACUGUGCAAACACGAAAGUGGACGUAUACGGUGUGACGCCUGCCCGGUGCCGGAAGGUUAAUUGAUGGGGUCAGCGCAAGCGAAGCUCUUGAUCGAAGCCCCGGUAAACGGCGGCCGUAACUAUAACGGUCCUAAGGUAGCGAAAUUCCUUGUCGGGUAAGUUCCGACCUGCACGAAUGGCGUAAUGAUGGCCAGGCUGUCUCCACCCGAGACUCAGUGAAAUUGAACUCGCUGUGAAGAUGCAGUGUACCCGCGGCAAGACGGAAAGACCCCGUGAACCUUUACUAUAGCUUGACACUGAACAUUGAGCCUUGAUGUGUAGGAUAGGUGGGAGGCUUUGAAGUGUGGACGCCAGUCUGCAUGGAGCCGACCUUGAAAUACCACCCUUUAAUGUUUGAUGUUCUAACGUUGACCCGUAAUCCGGGUUGCGGACAGUGUCUGGUGGGUAGUUUGACUGGGGCGGUCUCCUCCUAAAGAGUAACGGAGGAGCACGAAGGUUGGCUAAUCCUGGUCGGACAUCAGGAGGUUAGUGCAAUGGCAUAAGCCAGCUUGACUGCGAGCGUGACGGCGCGAGCAGGUGCGAAAGCAGGUCAUAGUGAUCCGGUGGUUCUGAAUGGAAGGGCCAUCGCUCAACGGAUAAAAGGUACUCCGGGGAUAACAGGCUGAUACCGCCCAAGAGUUCAUAUCGACGGCGGUGUUUGGCACCUCGAUGUCGGCUCAUCACAUCCUGGGGCUGAAGUAGGUCCCAAGGGUAUGGCUGUUCGCCAUUUAAAGUGGUACGCGAGCUGGGUUUAGAACGUCGUGAGACAGUUCGGUCCCUAUCUGCCGUGGGCGCUGGAGAACUGAGGGGGGCUGCUCCUAGUACGAGAGGACCGGAGUGGACGCAUCACUGGUGUUCGGGUUGUCAUGCCAAUGGCACUGCCCGGUAGCUAAAUGCGGAAGAGAUAAGUGCUGAAAGCAUCUAAGCACGAAACUUGCC